GACGAACGCUGGCGGCGUGCUUAACACAUGCAAGUCGAACGGAAAGGCCCUGCUUUUGUGGGGUGCUCGAGUGGCGAACGGGUGAGUAACACGUGAGUAACCUGCCCUUGACUGUGGGGUAACUUCAGGAAACUGGGGGUAAUACCGGAUAGGAGCUCCUGCUGCAUGGUGGGGGUUGGAAGGGUUCGGCGGUUGGGGAUGUGCUCGCGUUUGAUUAGCUAGUUGGAAGGGUAGUGGCCUAGCAUGGCGUCGAUGCGUAGCUGGGCUGAGAGGGUGACCAGCCAGGCUCGGACUGAGACCCCGCCCAGACUCGUACGGGAGGCAGCAGUAGGGAAUAUUGGACGAUGGACGCAAGCCUGAUCCAGCAAUGCCGCGUGAGUGAGGCAGGCGUGUGGGAUGUAAAUUUCUCUUACCCGGGAUGGUAAUGACAGUAACGGGAGAAUAAGCCCCGGCUAACUCCGUG
This 463-nucleotide ribosomal RNA is filed under the name uncultured bacterium. RNAcentral describes it as "partial 16S ribosomal RNA". It matches the Rfam family "Bacterial small subunit ribosomal RNA", at positions 28 to 507 of the family's 1533-position model. The record is from RNAcentral.